Molecule: ribosomal RNA, 599 nt
Filed under: uncultured fungus
Lineage: Eukaryota; Fungi
Description: eukaryotic LSU rRNA
Rfam family: 5.8S ribosomal RNA (bases 215-369)
Source: RNAcentral
GGAAGGAUCAUUACUGAAUUGUCAAACGGGCUGUUGCUGGUCCUCGAACGGGGACAUGUGCACGCUCUGUUUACACAUCCACUCACACCUGUGCACCCUCUGUAGUUUUACGGUCUGGGGGACCCUGUCUUCCUUCCGUAGUUCUACGUCUUUACACACACACACUGUGAUAAAGUCUUAUGGAAUGUAUGCCGCGUCUAACGCAACACAAUACAACUUUCAGCAACGGAUCUCUUGGCUCUCGCAUCGAUGAAGAACGCAGCGAAAUGCGAUAAGUAAUGUGAAUUGCAGAAUUCAGUGAAUCAUCGAAUCUUUGAACGCACCUUGCGCCCCUUGGAUAUUCCGAGGGGCAUGCCUGUUUGAGUAUCAUGAACACCUCAACUCUCAUGGUUUGCCGUGAUGAGCUUGGACCUUGGGGGUUUUGCUGGCCUGUGGUCGGCUCCUCUCAAAUGAAUCAGCCUCCCAGUGUUUGGUGGCAUCACGAGUGUGAUAACUAUCUACGCUCGCGGUUUUCCACCAGGUAACCUUUGGUGACAAAGGUUCGCUGGAGCUCACAGAUGUCUCUCCUCAGCGAGGACAGCUUUUUAACGUUCGAUCUC